CACGUAGGGGGCGAGCGUUGUCCGGAUUUAUUGGGCGUAAAGAGCUCGUAGGUGGCUUGGUAAGUCGGGUGUGAAAUUUCGAGGCUCAACCUCGAGACGCCACCUGAUACUGCUGUGGCUAGAGUCCGGUAGGGGAGCGUGGAAUUCCUGGUGUAGCGGUGAAAUGCGCAGAUAUCAGGAGGAACACCAGCGGCGAAGGCGGCGCUCUGGGCCGGUACUGACACUGAGACGCGAAAGCGUGGGGAGCAAACAGG
RNAcentral lists this ribosomal RNA (254 nucleotides) under uncultured bacterium. Its description in RNAcentral is "partial 16S ribosomal RNA". It matches the Rfam family "Bacterial small subunit ribosomal RNA", at positions 524 to 776 of the family's 1533-position model. The record is from RNAcentral.